Molecule: ribosomal RNA, 250 nt
Filed under: uncultured bacterium
Lineage: Bacteria
Description: partial 16S ribosomal RNA
Rfam family: Bacterial small subunit ribosomal RNA
Source: RNAcentral
CUGAUUAGCUAGUUGGUAAGGUAACGGCUUACCAAGGCGACGAUCAGUAGCCGACCUGAGAGGGUGAUCGGCCACAUUGGAACUGAGACACGGUCCAGACUCCUACGGGAGGCAGCAGUGGGGAAUAUUGCACAAUGGGGGAAACCCUGAUGCAGCGACGCCGCGUGAAGGAAGAAGUAUCUCGGUAUGUAAAGCUCUAUCAGCAGGGAAGAAACUGACGGUACCUGACUAAGAAGCACCGGCUAAAUAC